UUGAGUGCUGAUUUGGUAUACUAAGGUUUGAUCCCUCUGGAGGGGUUAUCAUCGGAUGUAUAUCAGACACGGCUAUUCUGUUACUAUCUGGUUAUUGUUUCGAUGGCUGUGGCAUGCAGGAUGUUUUGUCUACCCUAUUACUGCUUCUCAGCGUGUGACACUGUUGUAGUUACUCG
Long non-coding RNA from Bombus impatiens (common eastern bumble bee), 176 nucleotides. RefSeq lists it as uncharacterized. The transcript has 3 exons. Lineage: Eukaryota; Metazoa; Arthropoda; Insecta; Hymenoptera; Apidae. The record is from RefSeq and is a predicted model, not a curated record.